Molecule: ribosomal RNA, 432 nt
Filed under: uncultured bacterium
Lineage: Bacteria
Description: partial 16S ribosomal RNA
Rfam family: Bacterial small subunit ribosomal RNA
Source: RNAcentral
AACGAACGCUGGCGGCAUGCCUAACACAUGCAAGUCGAACGAGACCUUCGGGUCUAGUGGCGCACGGGUGCGUAACGCGUGGGAACCUGCCCUUAGGUUCGGAAUAACUCCCCGAAAGGGGUGCUAAUACCGGAUAAUGUCUUCGGACCAAAGAUUUAUCGCCUUUGGAUGGGCCCGCGUUGGAUUAGCUAGUUGGUAGGGUAAAAGCCUACCAAGGCGACGAUCCAUAGCUGGUCUGAGAGGAUGAUCAGCCACACUGGGACUGAGACACGGCCCAGACUCCUACGGGAGGCAGCAGUGGGGAAUAUUGGACAAUGGGCGAAAGCCUGAUCCAGCAAUGCCGCGUGAGUGAUGAAGGCCUUAGGGUUGUAAAGCUCUUUUACCCGGGAUGAUAAUGACAGUACCGGAAGAAUAAGCUCCGGCUAACUCCGU